GACAGAGGCGGCGAGCGUUGUUCGGAAUCACUGGGCUUAAAGGGCGAGUAGGCGGUAGGGCAAGUCUGAGGUGGAAUCCUAUGGCUCAACCAUAGAACUGCCUUGGAAACUGUUCUACUUGAGUCAGUGAGGGGAGGGCGGAAUUCCCGGUGUAGCGGUGAAAUGCGUAGAUAUCGGGAGGAAGGCCGGUGGCGAAGGCGGCCCUCGGGCGCUGUACUGACGAUGAGGCGCGAAAGCGUGGGGAGCAAACAGG
This 253-nucleotide ribosomal RNA is filed under the name uncultured bacterium. RNAcentral describes it as "partial 16S ribosomal RNA". It matches the Rfam family "Bacterial small subunit ribosomal RNA", at positions 524 to 776 of the family's 1533-position model. The record is from RNAcentral.